Molecule: long non-coding RNA, 2000 nt
Organism: Sapajus apella (tufted capuchin)
Lineage: Eukaryota; Metazoa; Chordata; Mammalia; Primates; Cebidae
Exons: 4
Source: RefSeq, a predicted model, not a curated record
CACACCCUACCUUUUCCCUCUUUCCUAUAUUUGGCAAGACUGUUAAAACUCCAGAUGUCCUCAAAGAGCUCUUUGCAUUGGCAAGUAAUCUCUCCGGAGACUUUAACAAUCCUUCUUCCGUCCAGUGAUCCCCAAACCUGGCUGCCCAACAGAUCACAUGAAGAGCAUUAAAAAAAAUCCCAAGUCCAGGUCUUGCCCCAUGUCAAUUAAAUCAGAAUGUCUGGGGGUGGGAGCCAGACACUGGUUUCUGUUUUGGUUUUAAAAAAUCCCAGGUAAUUCUAAACUGCAACAAGAUCUGGGAACCACUGUUCUGUGCCUUGUCCCUCCCCCAACGACCGUGCUGGGCACCAAACCCCAACGCCUCAUGCCAGUGACAUCAACAGCAAGUACGGGCCUGGCUCCUGGAACCCGCGCAGCUCAAGGCUGGAAUUGUGCAAUUAAACCUGAGGCAUGUUUCCCAUGUCAAAUGGGUUUAUGGGGGUAGUCACGAAGCCAGACUCGCUCAUGUUCUGUCUGGAGACUUGGCACACGUGAACCAGGGACAUCAAUCCGGUGUGUGUGAGUGUGUGUGUGUGUGUGUGUGUGUGUGUGUGACAGGUUUAAUAUUUUGGUUGGCCCAAUGUCAAAUUCUUCAAACAGCAAAGAGAAACAUCCAAGAAAGAAACUCCCCGGGUUUUGAGAGGGCAAGUCUGCUGUGAGCCCCAUUUUGAAACACCAUGGUGUGGCCAGGACGGGCUCUGCUUCCGGAGCUUCCGCGCAAGAGUGCCGCGGUCCCCCCUGGAGUGGCCGGACAGCCGCGGCCCGUUCCACCGCGAAGCCCAGGCGCGACCGAAGGGCUGCAGGCGUGGAAGACCCGGACAUCCCCGUGAGAUGGCCAGCGAACCAGAGCCCGUGGCUUUCGGUGGGGGGCGCCCCGGAGGGAGGUCGGGUCCCCAGAGGGACACACCUGGACCGGCUGGACCAGGGCGCGCCAGGCGGGGCGAGCUGCUGGCCGGGGUCUGCACCCAAGGGGCGGGUCGGACCCCACCUGCCUUUUGCCAAGGAGGAAACUAACCGCCGCCAGCACCACCCCUUCCCGGGAGCCGCAGGUGGUGGCGGACGAGUUCUCCCAGCUCCCAGGUGGAGGCUGCGACUCCACUCGCGGGAACGAGGCUCGCGGGGGCUGGGAGAGGGGCCGGGGCCAGGCUGACCCACGCCGGCUUCAGCAGCCAGACUCGCUGGGCAGAGCGCAGCCAGCAAAGCCAGGAGCGCGGCCCCGGCCGUCCCGGAGGGUCGCAUCGCUGCUCCCCGAAGAGCUCGCUCCGGCGCUCCCGGAUCAGUCCUGGACGGAGUCAGGCGGCGGUGCGCGGUGGCUGUGGCGGCGGCGAGGCGGGGACUCGGGCGGACGCCGCCGAGGAAAAAUGUCCUCUAGGUCCAUGUUACAGACCCCUCCUCUCCACAAGGUUCACUAAGACUUUCAGGCCUGAUUCAACAACCCCGAUUUUCCGGCUCUGUCAGGAACCACAAUCCUGAAGACAGCCACUGCGGGUUGAAGUCAGCCCCUGGAUGCAGAGGCUGUGAAGGCUUUGCAGGCACGUGUGUGCUUCCUCCACAUAUGCACACCUGGCCUGAGAGCAGUCCAAAUAGAAACACAGAGAAAACAAAACCAGGGAAUGGCAAACGGGAAGCACAACAGUGGAACAUAAAAUGAAGACAGGAGUGGGUCUUACAAUAAAAGACAUGAAUACUGUGAAGUCCUGUGCAUUCAGUUAACAAGGACCACUGCAUUUUCUGUCAAGGGAAUGUGACUUGUGUGCACAAGUCAUAACACAAAUCAAUUUAAGUUGAGAAAUGUUGAGUAUAUGAUAAAAAUAUAUUGUUUGCUAAGAAGAAUGAUGGCAAGGAAAACCUAGCUGUCCCCCUCAGCCCCCACCAAGUGGAAAAGUGCUUGGGGCAUUCUAAAGCAGCAAGACAGAAUAUGUAAAUCAUACACCGAUUAAAACAAUUCUUUAAACACGGGA